CCUACGGGAGGCAGCAGUGAGGAAUAUUUUUCAAUUUUCUCGCUCCUGCCCCCGCCCCGUCGCGUGAAGGAUGACUGCCCUACGGGUUGUAAACUUCUUUUAUAAAGGAAUAAAGUGAGGCACGUGUGCCUUUUUGUAUGUACUUUAUGAAUAAGGAUCGGCUAACUCCGUGCCAGCAGCCGCGGUAAUACGGAGGAUCCGAGCGUUAUCCGGAUUUAUUGGGUUUAAAGGGAGCGUAGAUGGGUUGUUAAGUCAGUUGUGAAAGUUUGCGGCUCAACCGUAAAAUUGCAAUUGAUACUGGCAGCCGUGAGUACAGUUGAGGUAGGCGGAAUUCGUGGUGUAGCGGUGAAAUGCUUAGAUAUCACGAAGAACUCCGAUUGCGAAGGCAGCCUACUAAACUGCCACUGACAUUGAUGCUCGAAAGUGUGGGUAUCAAACAGGAUUAGAUACCCGAGUAGUC
Molecule: ribosomal RNA, 460 nt
Filed under: uncultured bacterium
Lineage: Bacteria
Description: partial 16S ribosomal RNA
Rfam family: Bacterial small subunit ribosomal RNA
Source: RNAcentral